This 393-nucleotide ribosomal RNA is filed under the name uncultured bacterium. RNAcentral's name for it is "partial 16S ribosomal RNA". It matches the Rfam family "Bacterial small subunit ribosomal RNA", at positions 523 to 918 of the family's 1533-position model. The record is from RNAcentral.
CUACGGAAGGUCCGGGCGUUAUCCGGAUUUAUUGGGUUUAAAGUGAGCGCAGGCGGAGAUGCAAGCGUGACGACAAAUUUCGGGGCUCAACCCCGUCUCGCGUCGCGAACUGCGUCCCUUGGUUGCGGGAAGGGGAGGCGGAACUUGGGGGGUAGGGGUGAAAUGCAUAGAUAUCACGAAGAACUCCGAUCGCGAAGGCAGCCUUCCGGCCCGUCAACGACGCUCAUGCUCGAAGGUGCGGGUAUCAAACAGGAUUAGAUACCCUGGUAGUCCGCACAGUAAACGAUGGACACCCGCGGUUUGGCCUGUAUGGCUGAGCCGCCAAGCGAAAGCGUUAAGUGUCCCACCUGGGGAGUACGCCGGCAACGGUGAAACUCAAAUGAAUUGACGGGG